AGAGUUUGAUCCUGGCUCAGGACGAACGCUGCGGCGUUAACACAUGCAAGUCGAGCGGUAAGGCCUCUUUGGGGGUACACGAGCGGCGAACGGGUGAGUAACACGUGGGUGACCUGCCCCCUACUCUGGGAUAAGCCUGGGAAACUGGGUCUAAUACCGGAUAUGACCUCGUGCUUCAUGGUGUGGGGUGGAAAGCUUUUGUGGUGGGGGAUGGGCCCGCGGCCUAUCAGCUUGUUGGUGGGGUGAUGGCCUACCAAGGCUUCGACGGGUAGCCGGCCUGAGAGGGCGUCCGGCCACACUGGGACUGAGACACGGCCCAGACUCCUACGGGAGGCAGCAGUGGGGAAUAUUGCGCAAUGGGCGGAAGCCUGACGCAGCGACGCCGCGUGGGGGAUGACGGCCUUCGGGUUGUAAACCUCUUUCGACUUCGACGAAGCCUUCGGGUGACGGUAGGGGUGGAAGAAGCACCGGCCAACUACGUGCCAGCAGCCGCGGUAAUACGUAGGGUGCGAGCGUUGUCCGGAAUUAUUGGGCGUAAAGAGCUCGUAGGCGGUGUGUCACGUCGGCCGUGAAAACCUGCAGCUUAACUGUGGGCGUGCGGUCGAUACGGGCAUCACUGGAGUUCGGCAGGGGAGACUGGAAUUCCUGGUGUAGCGGUGAAAUGCGCAGAUAUCAGGAGGAACACCGGUGGCGAAGGCGGGUCUCUGGGCCGAUACUGACGCUGAGGAGCGAAAGCGUGGGGAGCGAACAGGAUUAGAUACCCUAGUAGUCC
This 772-nucleotide ribosomal RNA is filed under the name uncultured bacterium. Its description in RNAcentral is "bacterial SSU rRNA". It matches the Rfam family "Bacterial small subunit ribosomal RNA", at positions 8 to 796 of the family's 1533-position model. The record is from RNAcentral.